GCCCCUGAUGAUGAUUCAAAAAUACUUUCGUUCUUCCGAGAUAUUCUAUGUGGAAAAAUAUUGGAGACCUGAACUGAAGAGGC
This is a small nucleolar RNA of Rosa rugosa (rugosa rose), 83 nucleotides long. RefSeq annotates it as small nucleolar RNA Z159/U59. Lineage: Eukaryota; Viridiplantae; Streptophyta; Magnoliopsida; Rosales; Rosaceae. The transcript has a single exon. The record is from RefSeq and is a predicted model, not a curated record.